UCUAUAUGAAGCUUCUUAGCUUACCAUGGGGUGCUAUACUAAAUCAUAUCUAGUAGUGGUGAGGGGGAGGUGGUGAUGCAUAGACAUAGUGUGGUGGAGGUGGAGAGGGAUACUUAGGUGGAGGUGGAGGUGACUUGUAAUAGUAAGCUGGGGGAGGAGGAGAAGGGUACUUGUAUGGUGGAGGUGGAGGAGAUGGGUACUUGUAAGGAGGAGGAGGAGAUUUGUACUUGUAAACAGGUGGUGGAGGAGAUGGGUACUUGUAUGGUGGAGGUGGAGGAGAUGGGUACUUGUAAGGAGGAGGAGGAGAUUUGUACUUGUAAACAGGUGGUGGAGGAGAUGGAUACUUGUAUGGAGGGGGUGGAGGAGAAGGGUAUUUGUAGGGAGGUGGUGGUGACUUGUACUUGUAGACUGGAGGUGGUGGUGAUUUGUACUUGUAGACUGGAGGUGGUGGUGACUUGUACUUGUACACUGGUGGUGGGGGUGAUGGAUAUUUGUAAGGCUUCUUAGGAGGUGGUGGUGGUGACUUGUACUUGUAAACCGGAGGUGGUGGUGACUUGUACUUAUAAACUGGUGGUGGUGGAGAAGGGUAUUUGUAAGGCUUCUUAGGAGGUGGUGGAGGAGAUGAGUACUUAUAGGGUGGAGGUGGUGACUUAUUCUUGUAAAUUGGUGGUGGAGAAGAAGGGUACUUGUAUGGUGGUGAAGGAUGGUGAUAAGGAUGCUUGGGAGGUGAGUACUCUUGUGGUGGUGGAGAGUGGUAGUAGUAAGGGUUCUUAGGGGGUGGUGGAGGAGAUGAAUAGGGGUAGUUAUCAGCUGAGGUUUGAGAUGGCAAGCUUAGAGACACUAUUGCCAACACAAGAGUAAGAGUAAUAGAGGCCAUUAGAGACCCCAUUUCUCCCAACUUCUAAAAGGGUU
This 912-nucleotide long non-coding RNA is filed under the name Phaseolus vulgaris (common bean). RNAcentral describes it as "long non-coding RNA (PVUL_LNC003538)". Lineage: Eukaryota; Viridiplantae; Streptophyta; Magnoliopsida; Fabales; Fabaceae. The record is from RNAcentral.